RNAcentral lists this long non-coding RNA (1007 nucleotides) under Homo sapiens (human). RNAcentral's name for it is "HSALNT0286777". The record is from RNAcentral. Lineage: Eukaryota; Metazoa; Chordata; Mammalia; Primates; Hominidae.
CUCAGAUUCUAACUUUUCUCUCCCAACGGGCGCCUCCCUCAACAAUCCCGAAGAUCCUUGUGGCCCAUGCCCCGUGGCCUCCCUAGCCCGCGGCGCUGUAGCCCACCCCUUCCUCGACGCCCCGGGCCCUUGCGGCCGCCGUUUGUGAUGAACAGGAGGGGAGGGCUCGGACUUGCGACCCAAGAAAGUGUACUUGUCACAUGGAGCGGGAGAGAGUUGCUUCCAGUUCACCUACUCCAGGACCCAGAGGAUCCAACGUGAAGGAACAGCUCCUCUCACGAACACUGUUGGUCUCCUGGAUGGAGAAGGAAUGUGGUGAACCCUGAGCUGACUCUCAGGGCCUUUGUUCAGAACAUUUUACUUCUGCUCAUAUGUCAUAGGACAAAGCAAAUUACAUGGCUGAGCUGGAUGCAAAUGGGGAGGGGAAGAGGACUCUUCCCACAGGGAGGGGCAUAAGUCACACAGCCAAGGCUGAUGUCAACAGGGCAGGGAUGUAUAAUCCUCCCACAGGGAGGAGUAGCUAAUAUUUUUAACAAUAUUAUAAUCCACCACAGUGACCUCGAGCAUGUCACUUGACCUCUUUGUGCCUUGGUUUUCUCAUUGUUAAAAUGGAAAUAAUAAUAGAACUUACCUCAUAGGGUUGAUAUGAGGAUUCAAACGACUUAAUUCUAGUAGAGCAUUUAAAAUCCUGCCUAGUACAUAAUAAAUGCUAGAUAAGUGGUUGUUAAAUAAAAAUAAAUAAAAUGUUUGUCCAUACAAUUGUUUCCUCUUGCUAUGGUGAAAAUCGUGUAUCCCAUGCUUUAUUAUUACAUGCCUAGAAAUGAAGAUACUUUGCCUACAGGCAUUUAAAAACAAGACAUUUCUAUUUUUAAAAGCCUGUGGCUUUAAAAUUAAGGUUUCCAAAGUUGUGUCAUUGCUUAAACUUCUUGAAAGAUGUCCCUAUCAUGGCUUGCAGUCUGAUUAGUUCUUUCUGGAAAAGAGAAGAGAUUCUGUUUGGUAGGAAUAGG